This 87-nucleotide transfer RNA is filed under the name Gammaproteobacteria bacterium. Its description in RNAcentral is "tRNA-Leu". It matches the Rfam family "tRNA". From Rfam's summary of the family: Transfer RNA (tRNA) molecules are approximately 80 nucleotides in length. Their secondary structure includes four short double-helical elements and three loops (D, anti-codon, and T loops). Lineage: Bacteria; Pseudomonadati; Pseudomonadota; Gammaproteobacteria. The record is from RNAcentral.
GCCGAUAUGGUGAAAUUGGUAUACACGCUACCUUGAGGUGGUAGUGGCCUUGCGGCUGUGGGAGUUCGAGUCUCCCUAUCGGCACCA